This 1219-nucleotide ribosomal RNA is filed under the name Cellulomonas hominis. Its description in RNAcentral is "bacterial SSU rRNA". It matches the Rfam family "Bacterial small subunit ribosomal RNA", at positions 75 to 1309 of the family's 1533-position model. The record is from RNAcentral. Lineage: Bacteria; Bacillati; Actinomycetota; Actinomycetes; Micrococcales; Cellulomonadaceae.
CCAGCUUGCUGGGUGGAUCAGUGGCGAACGGGUGAGUAACACGUGAGUAACCUGCCCCUGACUCUGGGAUAAGCCUUGGAAACGAGGUCUAAUACCGGAUAUGUGACGUUCAGGCAUCUGAUGCGUCUGGAAAGAUUUAUCGGUCAGGGAUGGACUCGCGGCCUAUCAGCUUGUUGGUGGGGUAACGGCCUACCAAGGCGACGACGGGUAGCCGGCCUGAGAGGGCGACCGGCCACACUGGGACUGAGACACGGCCCAGACUCCUACGGGAGGCAGCAGUGGGGAAUAUUGCACAAUGGGCGCAAGCCUGAUGCAGCGACGCCGCGUGAGGGAUGAAGGCCUUCGGGUUGUAAACCUCUUUCAGCAGGGAAGAAGCGCAAGUGACGGUACCUGCAGAAGAAGCGCCGGCUAACUACGUGCCAGCAGCCGCGGUAAUACGUAGGGCGCAAGCGUUGUCCGGAAUUAUUGGGCGUAAAGAGCUCGUAGGCGGUUUGUCGCGUCUGCUGUGAAAACUCGAGGCUCAACCUCGGGCUUGCAGUGGGUACGGGCAGACUAGAGUGCGGUAGGGGAGACUGGAAUUCCUGGUGUAGCGGUGGAAUGCGCAGAUAUCAGGAGGAACACCGAUGGCGAAGGCAGGUCUCUGGGCCGCAACUGACGCUGAGGAGCGAAAGCAUGGGGAGCGAACAGGAUUAGAUACCCUGGUAGUCCAUGCCGUAAACGUUGGGCACUAGGUGUGGGGCUCAUUCCACGAGUUCCGUGCCGCAGCAAACGCAUUAAGUGCCCCGCCUGGGGAGUACGGCCGCAAGGCUAAAACUCAAAGAAAUUGACGGGGGCCCGCACAAGCGGCGGAGCAUGCGGAUUAAUUCGAUGCAACGCGAAGAACCUUACCAAGGCUUGACAUACACCGGAAACUUCCAGAGAUGGUUGCCCCGCAAGGUCGGUGUACAGGUGGUGCAUGGUUGUCGUCAGCUCGUGUCGUGAGAUGUUGGGUUAAGUCCCGCAACGAGCGCAACCCUCGUCCUAUGUUGCCAGCGGGUCAUGCCGGGGACUCAUAGGAGACUGCCGGGGUCAACUCGGAAGAAGGUGGGGAUGACGUCAAAUCAUCAUGCCCCUUAUGUCUUGGGCUUCACGCAUGCUACAAUGGCCGGUACAAAGGGCUGCGAUACCGCGAGGUGGAGCGAAUCCCAAAAAGCCGGUCCAGUUCGGAUUGGGGUCUGCA